Molecule: ribosomal RNA, 506 nt
Filed under: uncultured bacterium
Lineage: Bacteria
Description: bacterial SSU rRNA
Rfam family: Bacterial small subunit ribosomal RNA
Source: RNAcentral
GACGAACGCUGGCGGCGUGGAUUAGGCAUGCAAGUCGAACGGUAUCAUCCUUUCGGGGGUGAGAGAGUGGCGAACUGGUGAGUAACACGUAGGUUAUCUACCCUCAAGACGGGGACAACCCAGGGAAACUUGGGCUAAUACCGGAUGUGAGCAACUUUUAGUUGUUUGAAAGGUGGCGUAAGCUGUCGCUUGGGGAUGAGCCUGCGUCCUAUUAGUUAGUUGGUGAGGUAACGGCUCACCUAGGCAAUGAUAGGUAGGCGGCCUUAACGGGUAAAAAGGUCGCCCACACUGGGAUUGAGAUACGGCCCAGACUCCUACGGGAGGCAGCAGUCGAGAAUAGUCUACAAUGGUCGGAAGACUGAUAGUGCGACGCCGCGUGAACGAUGAAUCCCUUCGGGGUGUAAAGUUCUUUUAUAUGUGAGCAGUGCUUCUUAUAUUAACAGUAUGGGGAGAGAGAUAUUAGCAUAUGAAUAAGCAACGGCUAACUCCGUGCCAGCAGCCGCGGU